AAUAGGCAGAGAGCGGGCAAAGAGGAAAAGCUGAUGCCCGGAUGCUUCAAGGAGAUGAGUUUAUUAAAUGAAGGAGGAAGAUCAAUGGCGGAGAUCUUAACAUGAUUCCAGAGGGUUUCUUUUUUUUCUGUGUUUUCUGUUAAUGGUCACAUUGUUAUUAAUGCGUUGCAGUAUACAGGUGAGGAUGAACACCUGUACACAGGUGAGGAUGAACACUUGUGUACAGGUGAGGAUGAACACCUGUGUACAGGUGAGGAUGAACACAUGUAU
Long non-coding RNA from Gasterosteus aculeatus aculeatus (three-spined stickleback), 270 nucleotides. Lineage: Eukaryota; Metazoa; Chordata; Actinopteri; Perciformes; Gasterosteidae. The record is from Ensembl.